RNAcentral lists this small nucleolar RNA (90 nucleotides) under Ipomoea nil (Japanese morning glory). RNAcentral describes it as "small nucleolar RNA snoR114". It matches the Rfam family "small nucleolar RNA snoR114". Lineage: Eukaryota; Viridiplantae; Streptophyta; Magnoliopsida; Solanales; Convolvulaceae. The record is from Rfam by way of RNAcentral.
UAGCAAAGAAGAAAGCUGUGCUCUUGUGGUGAUUUGGGUCUCCAUAUCUUGUCUGAUCUUAAUCCGAUGACAAACGGCGCCUCUGAGCUU